ACGCUCGACACCUACGGGAGGUAGCAGUGGGGAAUAUUGCACAAUGGGGGAAACCCUGAUGCAGCGACGCCGCGUGAGCGAAGAAGUAUUUCGGUAUGUAAAGCUCUAUCAGCAGGGAAGAAACUGACGGUACCUGACUAAGAAGCACCGGCUAAAUACGUGCCAGUAGCCGCGGUAAUCUGAGCGGGCUGGCAAGGC
This 198-nucleotide ribosomal RNA is filed under the name uncultured bacterium. RNAcentral describes it as "partial 16S ribosomal RNA". It matches the Rfam family "Bacterial small subunit ribosomal RNA", at positions 328 to 539 of the family's 1533-position model. The record is from RNAcentral.